CUGAGGUCAUUAUCUGAUUUGUCUCAUUCAAGCAUCCAUUCCAUGCAAAACUUGUGAAACAUUAGGGAAUAGAGUCAUUAAGCAUCCAUUACACAAUUUAUAAAACAAAGUAUAUUCAUUGAUUCCAACGGUCAAAUUUGGGGUUACUAGGGCAAUAUACUCCACCCCUUUUAAAUUUUGAUUUACAAAAUUGAAGGUUCACUUUUUUUCUCAAGCAGAAGACUGAAUGGUCUUGAAUUUGAAUAAUUAUAAAUAAAAAAUGGGUAUUCGAACAAGUAUCAAUGCAAAUAUACAUUGAAAUCAAAGUUCCAAAAUUACCUAAUCCAACAAAAAGAGUAAAGUUAACUUUCAAAAUAUCAGUACUAAACAGGGUCUUGGGACAAAAUACAUUUGCUCAAUUAUUAUGUUUCUUUUGUUUUUAUCAAGACAAAGAUUGGAUAUUUUUGAAUAAACAAGAUGAGAAAAUGGGUAUCUCAACAUCCAUGAAUUGAAUGCAAAUAUCUUUGAGGGUUCUCGGCACAGACCUGUUACAUAAUAAUAUUGUCUGGAAGAAUUGUCAUCAGUCACCACAGCAAGUUUGUAGGCUGCAUACCGGAGAGGUUGUACCACCUACAUGAUCGAUUGAUUCAAUGCUGCAAAACCGAGAGGCCACUUAUAAGAGUUCACAUGUAUUGUCAAUUACUAAAUCCAAGACUUGCAUUUAUAAUUAUCAACACAAAUCUAGUGCUAUUUGAUUCUUAUAAAAUCACCUGCAGCCAAAAACAUUAACAGAUGCAACCUUGUUAUGGUUUAUUCAUUGAUCACAAUGCAAGCAUCACUAUAUGACAUAGGUGGUCUGCAUAAUGUCAUAUAUACAGGAUAAAUGUUGUGAGAAAUAGUUCAAACUCUAAAGAGUUAGCUUUUUUGUACUUUGCCUGAGUUGAUUUGUUUCUUCCUUAGAGAAUUCCUUUGAAACCAUUAUCAAUAGGCUAAUCCAACACAACCAUGCACUCCAUUUUGCAUUUGCAAAAGCACUUCAUAUUGUAGUUGCAAAAUUGCAUUUAGGACUAGGUCAUCAAAGCAAAAUUUCUAACAUAUGUGCCUCAUAUAUCAUCUCAGUGACAGUUUCACAGUCAUAAUAAGGCAAUAGAGACCAUACACGUUUUGAAUAAAAAGUUCAUAUUAAAAUUUCUUUAAAGGCGACCAUCCUUUUUUCCUUUAUGAGGGUCAUUAAGUUCAUAACACAAAAUCACAUCUAGUUGCAGUUGCAAAUUGAAUUUAGGGACUAAGGGUCAUCAAAUCAAAAUAGGCAUCCAUUCAUGCAUUAUGAAUAAAGGUUC
Molecule: long non-coding RNA, 1319 nt
Filed under: Trifolium pratense (red clover)
Lineage: Eukaryota; Viridiplantae; Streptophyta; Magnoliopsida; Fabales; Fabaceae
Description: long non-coding RNA (TPRA_LNC014237)
Source: RNAcentral